This 465-nucleotide ribosomal RNA is filed under the name Vreelandella stevensii. RNAcentral describes it as "partial 16S ribosomal RNA". It matches the Rfam family "Bacterial small subunit ribosomal RNA", at positions 338 to 795 of the family's 1533-position model. Lineage: Bacteria; Pseudomonadati; Pseudomonadota; Gammaproteobacteria; Oceanospirillales; Halomonadaceae. The record is from RNAcentral.
CCUACGGGGGGCAGCAGUGGGGAAUAUUGGACAAUGGGGGCAACCCUGAUCCAGCCAUGCCGCGUGUGUGAAGAAGGCCCUCGGGUUGUAAAGCACUUUCAGUGAGGAAGAACGCCUGGUGGUUAAUACCCAUCAGGAAAGACAUCACUCACAGAAGAAGCACCGGCUAACUCCGUGCCAGCAGCCGCGGUAAUACGGAGGGUGCGAGCGUUAAUCGGAAUUACUGGGCGUAAAGCGCGCGUAGGUGGCUUAAUAAGCCGGUUGUGAAAGCCCCGGGCUCAACCUGGGAACGGCAUCCGGAACUGUCAAGCUAGAGUGCAGGAGAGGAAGGUAGAAUUCCCGGUGUAGCGGUGAAAUGCGUAGAGAUCGGGAGGAAUACCAGUGGCGAAGGCGGCCUUCUGGACUGACACUGACACUGAGGUGCGAAAGCGUGGGUAGCAAACAGGAUUAGAUACCCCUGUAGUC